GACGAACGCUGGCGGCGUGCUUAACACAUGCAAGUCGAGCGAUGAAGCACUUUCGGGUGUGGAUUAGCGGCGAACGGGUGAGGAACACGUGAGGAAUCUGCCUUCCACUCUGGGAUAACUCCGGGAAACCGGGGCUAAUACCGGAUACUUUCAACUGGCGGCAUCGCUGGUUGAAGAAAGUUUUUCGGUGGAAGAUGACAUCGCGGCCUAUCAGCUUGUUGGUGAGGUAAUGGCUCACCAAGGCGACGACGGGUAGCCGGCCUGAGAGGGCGACCGGCCACACUGGGACUGAGACACGGCCCAGACUCCUACGGGAGGCAGCAGUGGGGAAUAUUGGGCAAUGGAGGAAACUCCGACCCAGCGACGCCGCGUGAGGGAUGAAGGCCUUCGGGUUGUAAACCUCUUUCAGCAGGGAAUAAGCGAAAGUGAAGGUACCUGCAGAAGAAGCACCGGCUAACUAUGUGCCAGCCGCCGCAGUAA
RNAcentral lists this ribosomal RNA (480 nucleotides) under uncultured bacterium. RNAcentral's name for it is "partial 16S ribosomal RNA". It matches the Rfam family "Bacterial small subunit ribosomal RNA", at positions 28 to 523 of the family's 1533-position model. The record is from RNAcentral.